AACACUCAAGUUUCCACACUCUCUCACUUCCGAUCUCCCAUACAAUAAAGCAACUGCACAUCUCUCUUUCGACCGUGCGCUACCAACUGGAACCGUCGUCUCCCUCACUUUCCAUUCGGUACUCAUGGGUUUCCUCCCUUUGUUUUAUUUCUUGAGUUUACUUUUUCAUUAUAUGAGUUUUUGUUGGUGAAUACUAGCUUUAUCUGAGCUUUGUUAUCUCAUAAACAAAGUUUAAAUUAGAUAAUAUAGUUGCUGUAUUUUAUUUAUUUAUUUAUUCUUUCUAAUUUAUUUAGUUUUAAUUAAAACAUGAAUAAGAAAGAUGGAAGUAAAAAUUUUGAAAGUUAAGUUUACAGAAAGAGAUCGUGAGAGAUGAGAAACAAUGAGACUUUUUUUUUUUCCAUUUUAUUUUGGUUGUUGUAUUUAGUUUAUCUUAGUUUUAUUUAAUAUAUUUUAUAAAAAAAAAAAAAAAAGAGCUGGUCAUGUAUCCAUUUUUUAUUGGUUUUGUUUGGCCAUUGUUUUUUGAAAGAGUCAAUAUUAUCAGGCUAAUUUAGUUACAGAUUAAAAUCAAUUUUGGUUGAAGCAACUCCCCCACACGUUUGGUUGGGUUUUUUAUUUUUAUUUUUUUUAUUCACUAUUAUUAUUUAUUAAUGACCAUUAUUAUUUUAAUUAUUACUAUUAUUAUUAUUAUGAUUAUUUUGUGGAUGAUUAUUAAUAUUAUUAUUAUUAUUAUUAUUAUUUAAGUAAAUUGAUUUUUUUUAUUUUUUUGAAAAUC
This 772-nucleotide long non-coding RNA is filed under the name Lathyrus oleraceus (garden pea). RNAcentral describes it as "Pisum sativum (pea) long non-coding RNA (PSAT_LNC028113)". The record is from RNAcentral. Lineage: Eukaryota; Viridiplantae; Streptophyta; Magnoliopsida; Fabales; Fabaceae.